This is a long non-coding RNA of Chroicocephalus ridibundus (black-headed gull), 631 nucleotides long. RefSeq lists it as uncharacterized. NCBI's taxonomy places the organism in Eukaryota, Metazoa, Chordata, Aves, Charadriiformes, Laridae. The transcript is spliced from 3 exons. The record is from RefSeq and is a predicted model, not a curated record.
ACAGGCUGGAACCCAGGAGAGCAUCUGCGAGGAGAGGUGGCCUUACCUGCCACGUGGACUGGCCUUGUCCCACCGCUCUCCCUCGGUCCCACCUGCCCCUUGUGACAAUGUCCAGCAGCAAAUGCAGACAGGAAGAUCCUUUUGAAAUUAGACACAGCUUCUGGAAUCAACCCAGACACCGCUUUUCAAGCCAGAAGCAUUUGUAUAAGCAUCAUCAAUCAUGCCACUGGCUCUUAUUGCUACUGUAUAUUCACUUUCUACCUGGUUUGAAUUCCUAAUUGGCCCUGCUGCGCAACUUAAAGCCCUGAAGAAAGCAGUGGAAGGGAGGUGGGGGAGAGUAUUACUUCCCCUGCUGGGAUCAGGAGGGUUUCUUGCAAAUUACACUGAUAAAGUCCAUUUCCUGGAGAAAACAGACAAGAAGCAGUUGGUAACAGGAAAUCUGCUGGAUUUUUUUUUCCUCCGUGAGAGAGGAAGAAGUUACCAUCAUGGCAGGCAAGGCAAGAGUGGGGAUGUGUGCCUGGUAAGUUCUUCUCCUCCAAGGCAAAAAAAUCUUUAGUGAGUAAGAAAGUGCUCCCUGCAAUCCCUAUCUCCUUGCUCUCACAAAUGGCCUGGGGGACAUGGGGAGGAAAAU